RNAcentral lists this transfer-messenger RNA (365 nucleotides) under Gammaproteobacteria (g-proteobacteria). RNAcentral's name for it is "UBA4457 sp913047675 Standard tmRNA". It matches the Rfam family "transfer-messenger RNA". Rfam says of the family: Bacterial tmRNA, also known as 10Sa RNA or SsrA, is named for its dual tRNA and mRNA-like properties. Its role is to liberate the mRNA from a stalled ribosome. Lineage: Bacteria; Pseudomonadati; Pseudomonadota. The record is from RNAcentral. RNAcentral also lists the same sequence under 1 other name.
GGGGGCGUCACGGCUUCGACGUGGGUCAUGAAACCGGAGGUGCAUGCCGAGGUGCAGAUUACCUCGUAAAUACAACUGCAAACAUUUUAGUUGCCAACGAAGACAACUACGCACUCGCUGCUUAAAACCCAGUAGGGUGCCGUCCGACUGAAGCCGUGCUCAUGCGUUCAGGUUUCGGGCGUCAUAUCUCAUGUGAUCGCGGUAAGGUAUUUUUAGGACCGAACCGUUAAAACCUUUACUAAAAUCGUUUGAAGCCUUCCCUGCCGGUCGGGUAGCUUCAAAUUAAAUUAAUAGACUCGGAUAAGCAUGUAGAGCCAAAGAUGUAAGGCUUGCGGACGCGGGUUCGACUCCCGCCGCCUCCACCA